RNAcentral lists this ribosomal RNA (248 nucleotides) under uncultured Lachnospiraceae bacterium. RNAcentral describes it as "partial 16S ribosomal RNA". It matches the Rfam family "Bacterial small subunit ribosomal RNA", at positions 524 to 771 of the family's 1533-position model. The record is from RNAcentral. Lineage: Bacteria; Bacillati; Bacillota; Clostridia; Lachnospirales; Lachnospiraceae.
UACGUAGGGGGCAAGCGUUAUCCGGAUUUACUGGGUGUAAAGGGAGCGCAGACGGCUGUGCAAGUCUGAAGUGAAAGCCCGAGGCUUAACCGCGGAACUGCUUUGGAAACUGUAUGGCUUGAGUACUGGAGAGGCGGGCGGAAUUCCUAGUGUAGCGGUGAAAUGCGUAGAUAUUAGGAGGAACACCAGUGGCGAAGGCGGCCUGCUGGACAGAAACUGACGUUGAGGCUCGAAAGCGUGGGGAGCAA